RNAcentral lists this ribosomal RNA (253 nucleotides) under uncultured bacterium. RNAcentral's name for it is "partial 16S ribosomal RNA". It matches the Rfam family "Bacterial small subunit ribosomal RNA", at positions 524 to 776 of the family's 1533-position model. The record is from RNAcentral.
UACGGGGGGGGCAAGCGUUGUUCGGAAUUACUGGGCGUAAAGGGCUCGUAGGCGGCCAACUAAGUCGGACGUGAAAUCCCUCGGCUUAACCGGGGAACUGCGUCCGAUACUGGAUGGCUUGAGUUUGGGAGAGGGAUGCGGAAUUCCAGGUGUAGCGGUGAAAUGCGUAGAUAUCUGGAGGAACACCGGUGGCGAAAGCGACUCACUGGACCGACACUGACGCUGAGGUGCGAAAGCUAGGGUAGCAAACGGG